RNAcentral lists this ribosomal RNA (389 nucleotides) under Syndiniales sp. RNAcentral's name for it is "partial small subunit ribosomal RNA". It matches the Rfam family "Eukaryotic small subunit ribosomal RNA", at positions 582 to 975 of the family's 1831-position model. Lineage: Eukaryota; Dinophyceae; Syndiniales. The record is from RNAcentral.
AUUCCAGCUCCAAUAGCGUAUAUUAAAGUUGUUGCGGUUAAAAAGCUCGUAGUUGGAUUUCUGUUGAGGACGGCCGGUCCGCACUAUGUGCGUGUAUCUGGUUCGGCCUUGGCAUCCUCUUGAGGAACGUAUCUGCGCUCGAUUGCGUGGAGCGGUAUUCAAGACUUUUACUUUGAGGAAAUUAGAGUGUUCACGGCAGGCAAGCGCCUUGAAUACGUUAGCAUGGAAUGAUAAUAUAGGAUCUUGGUUCUAUUUUGUUGGUUUCUAGAGCUAAGGUAAUGAUUAAUAGGGAUAAUUGGGGGCAUUUGUAUUAACGCGUCAGAGGUGGAAUUCUUGGAUUGCGUUACGACAAACUACUGCGAAAGCAUUUGCCAAGGAUGUUUUCAUUG